AUACGUAGGUGACAAGCGUUAUCCGGAUUUACUGGGCGUAAAGGGCGUGUAGGCGGUCUUGCAAGUCAGAAGUGAAAUUCCUGAGCUCAACUCGGGCGCUGCUUCUGAAGCUGCAGGACUUGAGUGCUGGAGGGGAUAGCGGAAUUCCUAGUGGAGCGGUAAAAUGCGCAGAUAUUAGGAAGAACGCCGGUGGCGAAGGCGGCUAUCUGGACAGUAACUGACGCUGAGGCGCGAAAGCGUGGGGAGCAAACAGGAUUAGAUCCCCUGGUAGUCCACGCCGUAAACGAUGAAUACUAGGUGUAGGGGGUAUCGACUCCCUCUGUGCCGCAGUUAACACAAUAAGUAUUCCGCCUGGGGAGUACGGCCGCAAGGUUGAAACUCAAAUGAAUUGACGGGG
Molecule: ribosomal RNA, 397 nt
Filed under: uncultured bacterium
Lineage: Bacteria
Description: partial 16S ribosomal RNA
Rfam family: Bacterial small subunit ribosomal RNA
Source: RNAcentral